GCUGGGCAUGGUGGCGCACACCUGUAAUCCCAGCAGCUUGGGAGGCUGAGGCAGGAGGAUUCCAAGUCCAAAGUCAGCCUCAGCCAUUUAGCGAGGCCUUAUGUAACUUAGCAAGACCCUGCCUCUA
This 127-nucleotide small RNA is filed under the name Marmota monax (woodchuck). Lineage: Eukaryota; Metazoa; Chordata; Mammalia; Rodentia; Sciuridae. The record is from RNAcentral.